This 763-nucleotide ribosomal RNA is filed under the name Bacillus sp. (in: firmicutes). RNAcentral's name for it is "bacterial SSU rRNA". It matches the Rfam family "Bacterial small subunit ribosomal RNA", at positions 78 to 825 of the family's 1533-position model. Lineage: Bacteria; Bacillati; Bacillota; Bacilli; Caryophanales; Bacillaceae. The record is from RNAcentral.
GCUUGCUCCCUGAUGUUAGCGGCGGACGGGUGAGUAACACGUGGGUAACCUGCCUGUAAGACUGGGAUAACUCCGGGAAACCGGGGCUAAUACCGGAUGCUUGUUUGAACCGCAUGGUUCAGACAUAAAAGGUGGCUUCGGCUACCACUUACAGAUGGACCCGCGGCGCAUUAGCUAGUUGGUGAGGUAACGGCUCACCAAGGCGACGAUGCGUAGCCGACCUGAGAGGGUGAUCGGCCACACUGGGACUGAGACACGGCCCAGACUCCUACGGGAGGCAGCAGUAGGGAAUCUUCCGCAAUGGACGAAAGUCUGACGGAGCAACGCCGCGUGAGUGAUGAAGGUUUUCGGAUCGUAAAGCUCUGUUGUUAGGGAAGAACAAGUGCCGUUCAAAUAGGGCGGCACCUUGACGGUACCUAACCAGAAAGCCACGGCUAACUACGUGCCAGCAGCCGCGGUAAUACGUAGGUGGCAAGCGUUGUCCGGAAUUAUUGGGCGUAAAGGGCUCGCAGGCGGUUUCUUAAGUCUGAUGUGAAAGCCCCCGGCUCAACCGGGGAGGGUCAUUGGAAACUGGGGAACUUGAGUGCAGAAGAGGAGAGUGGAAUUCCACGUGUAGCGGUGAAAUGCGUAGAGAUGUGGAGGAACACCAGUGGCGAAGGCGACUCUCUGGUCUGUAACUGACGCUGAGGAGCGAAAGCGUGGGGAGCGAACAGGAUUAGAUACCCUGGUAGUCCACGCCGUAAACGAUGAGUGCUAAGUGUUA